Non-coding RNA from Drosophila melanogaster (fruit fly), 1920 nucleotides. The record is from Ensembl. NCBI's taxonomy places the organism in Eukaryota, Metazoa, Arthropoda, Insecta, Diptera, Drosophilidae.
ACAAACCCUACAGUUCCGAAGGAAACAUUAUUUUUGAGUGCCUGCAACUUUUCAAGGGGCUAGACUUUCUACCAAUUUUAUUUUUAUACUCGGAUAAGGAGGAACAAAAUGGAGCAUUUUAUAAUUGACAACAACAGCGUACCAUUGCGCGAUGUAGGUGAAAAAGAAAACAGGAGCCAAGGCGGUCAGUUGGAUUGUGUACCAAAGAAAAGUUCCCAUAUCAGUAGAUCGAGAACCAAUAUGACCGGAUCGGAUGAAUCAGCAUCACCAUCAAAAAAAGCACACCGACCCAAAUCACGGAUUCCCUACAAUCGUUUGCAUUCAUGUCCAAGGAAAUAUAUAUCCGGAAACCAAUAUGCUUUCAAUGAGGACUCCAUAGCUCCACUUUCGAAUGAGAAAUCUAUAGCCAAAAGCGUCGUAGCUCCACUUCCAAAAAGUAAAUCUAUAUCCGAAAGAGUCAAAGCUCCAUCUCCGAAUAAGAAAUCUAUAGCCGAAAGCGUCAUGGCUCUGACUCUCAAUGGGAAAUCCACAUCCGAAAGCGUUUUAUAUCCACUUCCGAAUGGGAAACCUAUAUCCGAAAGCACGGAGAAUAGUCAUAGUCAUAGCAAGCCUGUAAAUGAUAGAUAUCGCUCUAUAUCCGCAGAAAGCCUAGAUUUCAAGGGCUUCGAGUUGAAAAAUGCAAAUCCACUUCCGAAUGGGGAAUCCAUAUCCGAAAAUGUCCUAGCUCCACUUCCGAGUGGGAAAUCUAUUUCCGAAGAAGUCAUAGCUCCGUCUCCGAAUGGGAAAUCUAUGGCCGAAAGCACGGAAGAAAAAUCUAGAUAUCGCUUCUUAUCCGCAGUUAGUUUAUAUAUCAGGGGCUUUGAAUUAAGGAAGGCAAGUAAGCUUAUCGUUAAGAAAAGCGGUGUGAUGAUAUUCAUUACUCGUAUAUCAAAGUCAAGUUUAGUGACUCUGGGUAUGUUCAGUACGCUCUUUCUGAUUUGGGCCUGUGAUUUCGAAGAACCAAUUGCCAGGAUUAAAAAGGCAAUGAGCGAUGUACUCAACGAACGUUCCCGUGCCAAAUGCUAAUCUAUAUGAGUACAUUGUUGAACAAAAAUUCCAAAAUUUACAGUAUCUAUUUGUGGCAAAAAAAUAAAAUAAAAAAUAUUCUUUUGCGAUCAAAAUUAUAAUGUUGAAUCACAUCUCAUUUGGCAAUCUGUGGCAUUGUUCAAUCCAUUUUCGAAGCCAUAACAAAUGACACUUUUAAUCAUUGCAUAUUAACGGACUAAGCCCUGACCGAUACCCGCACGUCGUGCCCACUGAUUUAUGGCCCAGACAGCGACAUCCAACCAAAAAUAACCCAUUAACUAAAUCCGCAUUUAAUAAAUGCCAGCCAGCGGCAGCGAGAAGGUAACAAAAGGGUUAAGACUGCCAAGGGAUUGGGAUAGGGAUCCGCCAAGUUGGCAGUUACAAGUUCCAACUUACAAGACCGGCAAAUUAAUCACGCUGACGACUGCGACGUGGUUGAUGAUAUUGGUCGACUGAUGCUGACAUUGAGGAGCUGCCAGCCGCACCAGCCAUCAGUUAGCCAAGUAUCCCCAUCCCCAAGCCCAAUCCCCAAUCCCCAUCCCAAUGGAUACUGUGCCGAGCAACCAAGUAUCCCACUGUGCCGGGGGCAUCAAUCUGCGGUCGAGUCUCAACUUUCGGGCAAUGUGACACGUGUGGAAUGCAGCCAGAAAUCGGAAUCAGAAGCGUUGACAUGACAACUCGAGAUGAGGGGAUCGCGAUAAGGACAACCACUUUCUAUGGCACGAGCAUGGAAAACCUUUUUAGAUCCAAGCAUUGCUUAACAAUUUUUCCAGCUUGAACUUUACACUACCAGAUGUGAGCAUUGAGAAAAACCUGAUAAUAUAAACCAAUAAUAAAAUAUAAAUUUGUAUAUGC